GGAUGCGAUCAUACCCGCUCUAACGCACCGAA
This 32-nucleotide ribosomal RNA is filed under the name Solanum vespertilio. Lineage: Eukaryota; Viridiplantae; Streptophyta; Magnoliopsida; Solanales; Solanaceae. The record is from RNAcentral.